GGCCCGCACAAGCGGUGGAGUAUGUGGUUUAAUUCGAUGCAACGCGAAGAACCUUACCAGGUCUUGACAUCCCGCUGACCGCCUUGGAGACAAGGCUUUCCCUUCGGGGACAGCGGUGACAGGUGGUGCAUGGUUGUCGUCAGCUCGUGUCGUGAGAUGUUGGGUUAAGUCCCGCAACGAGCGCAACCCUUGAUCUUAGUUGCCAGCAUUUAGUUGGGCACUCUAGAGAGACCGCCGGUGAUAAACCGGAGAAGGUGUGGAUGACGUCAAGUCAUCAUGCCCCUUACAUCUGGGCUACACACGUACUACAAUGCUACGGACAAAGAGCAGCAAGUUCGCGAGGACAAGCAAAUCUCAUAAACCGUGGCUCAGUUCAGA
RNAcentral lists this ribosomal RNA (378 nucleotides) under uncultured bacterium. RNAcentral describes it as "bacterial SSU rRNA". It matches the Rfam family "Bacterial small subunit ribosomal RNA", at positions 918 to 1297 of the family's 1533-position model. The record is from RNAcentral.